UCACCCAUCUCUAUUGCACUGAACACAGCACUGUCUGACAUUUACUGGAGAAGAGAGCGUAUUCAUCUGGAAGCAACAUGAGUAAAAUUGUUACAUUCUGUCUAGGACUGAUCCUGCUGGCUGUAAUGUUACCUGACCAGGUGCACUGUCAGUCUACUUUAGUAAAGACCAAUGCUUCAGAUUCAACAACGGCAAACAGUACACAUGUAUCAAAUGCCAGUGGCGUAUCACCUGUUACGACCUCGACGAACACUACUACAGCUCGUUCUCACGGAGAUUCUUUGUAUGCAUCUUCAAGCCUGUUCCUCAGCCUCGUCUCGAUCUCUGUUAUACAUCUCUACUGUUAAAGGACCGUGUCCUAAAGGCAGCUUUAGCACUCGCCCCCAUCCAACCACUGCUCUUAUCUGCUCUCUCUGACCAGGCUACCACACACGUCAUUGAGGAACAUUAACAAACACAGGCACCAAAUAUUUUUUUAUUGCCCAGAAAGUGUCCUCCGCAACCAAUCCUGACCGAGAGACUAAUAAACUGAAGCUUCCUAGGCUGAAUGAUGUGAAUAGGCUCUCAACCACAUCAGGAAAGUGGAGGAAGGCCCCAGUGGCAAGUGAAUCAAGAAACCAAUUUCCUUAAGUGGAAGCAAACAAGACAUUCUCCAAAUAUGAAACAAAACACUCAUUACAUGGACAUCAUUGAUGAGCUAAACACGUCAUGGUUGCUGUAGAGCAGAUUGGAGCAAAAUAUCUCCUUUAAGAAACCAAAAGACUUACAGACUGUUUUGCUUCUAGGCAACCAAAUAGAUAUAUCCAUGUUUAUGUAAGGCCAAUAUAAUUAAGGUAAUGCACGUAGAAGCAUCUAGUUAAAUACAUUAAUAAGCAUAAUGCAUUUUUGCAAAAUUUUUCAAUGGGAUAUUCCACUGGCAUUUGCAGUACCUCAGGGUAACCAUUUGCAUUUAUCACUUUAUUAUGAAAAAAGGCACAAAUAUAAGCAGGAUUGGAGAAUUAAUAUACUCAGCGGCAGGUGUUCCUGCUUCCUCAUUUAAACUGCUUUUUUAUGUGUCACCCGAGAAUAAAAAUGGGAUAAUAGAUUUUAUACUCUAUAUUGGCUUUUUACUGCCUUUUUGAAGUUUGUAACUGUUUUGCAGCCUAACUACACAAAUGCAUUAUGUCUUACUUUGGGGCAUUUAUUGUAAUUUUUUUUAAUAAACUGUUGCAUUGGGGGAAAAAACAAACAAACAAAAAAUUAAAAUCAACAUAAAACCAUAAGAAGUAAACAUAAGAAAACACAACAAUCUUUAUUUUUUUUUUUCACACAGGGAUAUUUGUAAAGUGACGGAUGGCAUUUUUUUUCCAGGGGUGGAUAUAUAAUGAAGUGAUUAUAUUAAUACAGAAUCGGAAUAUUUUUAUGCAUUUAAUCAAAAGGUGCAUUACUACACACUUUUACGAAUACAUGAAAAAUAAUACAUCUCUUGAAUUAAUACGUCAAGUACGCAAUUGGGUGUACCCUAGGAUUUCAUUUUAUCUCCUCUGAAUUAAUGAGUUGUACACAUUCAGGAUUAACACGUGUAAACAUAAUAGAUAUACAGAAAUGUGUCACUCUUUGUGUUUGUAUUUAGUUUUUUUUAGGCAAAUUCAGACAUAUUAUACAAUAAUAUAUUCCAGUGUACGCAGUGACUGUGCUGUAAUACAGUUAUGGCUAUCUAAAAUGCCGAUUACAGUGGUUAUUGUUCCACUGUGAUAUAGGAGGGGGUUUAUUUGCUAAACAGUGAAUGUCAUUGAGUGGGUUUCCUACUUUUAAGUCAUAAGUCAAAACAGUUAUGUUGACUAAAUAAAUUCCAACCAGCCAGCUGAUCUGGAUAUGCAUUUCAAUGCACUAGGCAGCUCAUUGCAAGUUACUGUGUAGUAAAUAAACCCCCGGUGUCCAUAGGAAUAGAAGAGCAGACACUUGACCUUGACCAGUAGGUCUUUAAUUUGAUGUUCUGUUGAAAUGACUGUGUUAUGAAAUAUAUAUAGAGACAUGUGGAGCCUCCCAGUAAGAGAUAAUCAGUUUUUUUGUAACUUUAAUUUAAACAAAUAAAAUUAUAAUGAUAAAACAA
Pelobates fuscus (common spadefoot toad) is the source of this 2092-nucleotide long non-coding RNA. RefSeq lists it as uncharacterized. The record is from RefSeq and is a predicted model, not a curated record. The transcript is spliced from 2 exons. NCBI's taxonomy places the organism in Eukaryota, Metazoa, Chordata, Amphibia, Anura, Pelobatidae.